CACACACGAACACUCACACACACCCGGACUGACUCCUUCCCUCACACGCCUACUAUCCACUUUCGCCUGAGACCGCAGCCAGCACAGGGCUCAGUUUUUUAUUUUAUUUUUUAUUUGCUUUGCUUGCUUUGGGUCUUUCCCUCUUGUACAGUGAGACGAGUCCCAUUUCACCCCUCCUCUGCAUAGAGAGCGCCCCUGAAAACAUAGGCCCUGGAUUGUCCCUGCAUCAGACUGCAUGCUACCAAUUGAUUUGUGCAUCUACUCCUCCCUAUUAUUUUAGCUCUUUAUAAAAAAAAUUGCUCUCUACCUUUAAUGUAAAAUUCGGUUCAUUUUGAGUAAUUUCUUCACAUACCCAUUCUGGAAGAGAGGACGAAGAAAAGAAGAAAACGCUCACGGAAUGGACAGAUGAAAGGGGACAGCAGAAAAAAAGAGAAUGCUGUGGUCUACUCUUGUCUUGAGUCCGUGGAAACUUCCCACUAAGGAGGAACAAUGGAAAGAAUUUCAAUCCAGCCUCAGUAAGGUAACAUCUCUGGCAAGUUUGGAGGUUUAGUGAUGAGCCAUUAUGAGGUGGAGCCGUUCACCAACCCAACCCAACACACAACACAAUUAUAUGGUAUCCAAAGUAGUGGCAGAUUGACUCUUUCUUUCAGGGAUCGUCAUAAAUGCCAUGAGCAACCAAUUACCAUUGAGACCACAGGAGGGACAUUUCCUAUUGGCCGGCUUUGUGCCCGGACCACUAAUAUGGUCCAAUGAGAAGAAGGUAAAGGGUCAUGACCCCCGUAUAUGUUUCACCUGGGACGUUCAAGAUAACCGCCCAGCUGCUGAAGACUUACAUGAUAAUAAAAGUCAUUUUAGAGACAGAGAGAGCUUUGAUAGUCAUUUUGUGUUAGUGUUCAUUGUGUGUUGCAAAUCAAUAAAAACAAAAC
RNAcentral lists this long non-coding RNA (926 nucleotides) under Salmo salar (Atlantic salmon). Its description in RNAcentral is "lncRNA (ENSSSAG00000082875.1)". The record is from RNAcentral. Lineage: Eukaryota; Metazoa; Chordata; Actinopteri; Salmoniformes; Salmonidae.